AUACGGAGGAUCCGAGCGUUAUCCGGAUUUAUUGGGUUUAAGGGUGCGCAGGCGGCCAUUUAAGUCAGCGGUUAAAUCGUGGGGCUCAACCCCAUUCUGCCGUUGAUACUGGGUGGCUUGAUUGCGGUCGAGGUUGGCGGAAUUCGUUGUGUAGCGGUGAAAUGCAUAGAUAUGACGAAGAACACCGAUUGCGUAGGCAGCUGACCAGACCGCAAAUGACGCUCAUGCACGAAAGUGCGGGGAUCGAACAGGAUUAGAUACCCUGGUAGUCCGCACAGUAAACGAUGAAUACUUGUUUUCGGCGAUAUAAUGUCGGAGGCAAAGCGAAAGCGAUAAGUAUUCCACCUGGGGAGUACGCCGGCAACGGUGAAACUCAAAGGAAUUGACGGGG
Molecule: ribosomal RNA, 391 nt
Filed under: uncultured bacterium
Lineage: Bacteria
Description: partial 16S ribosomal RNA
Rfam family: Bacterial small subunit ribosomal RNA
Source: RNAcentral